Molecule: ribosomal RNA, 253 nt
Filed under: uncultured bacterium
Lineage: Bacteria
Description: partial 16S ribosomal RNA
Rfam family: Bacterial small subunit ribosomal RNA
Source: RNAcentral
UACGUAGGGUGCAGGCGUUAAUCGGAAUUACUGGGCGUAAAGCGUGCGCAGGCGGUUUGCUAAGACAGGUGUGAAAUCCCCGGGCUUAACCUGGGAACUGCGCUUGUUACUGGCAGGCUUGAGUGUGGCAGAGGGGGGUGGAAUUCCACGUGUAGCAGUGAAAUGCGUAGAGAUGUGGAGGAACACCGAUGGCGAAGGCAGCCCCCUGGGCUAACACUGACGCUCAUGCACGAAAGCGUGGGGAGCGAACAGG